This 228-nucleotide ribosomal RNA is filed under the name uncultured bacterium. RNAcentral describes it as "partial 16S ribosomal RNA". It matches the Rfam family "Bacterial small subunit ribosomal RNA", at positions 108 to 339 of the family's 1533-position model. The record is from RNAcentral.
GAGUAACAUAUCGGAACGUGCCUAGUAAUGGGGAAUAACUAAUCGAAAGAUUAGCUAAUACCGCAUACGACCUACGGGUGAAAGCAGGGGAUCUUCGGACCUUUCGCUAUGAGAUGAGCCUGCGUAAGAUUAGCUAGUUGGUAGGGUAAAGGCCUACCAAGGCGACGAUCUUUAGCUGGUCUGAGAGGAUGAUCAGCCACAUUGGGACUGAGACACGGCCCAAACUCC